CCUUGAAAGCCACCCAUCUUGGACCAAUCAACACUGGAGCACAACGACCAUCACACUUCUUUCUUGGAGGCAUAUCAUGAUCUCUAGCCAACCACACCUGUUUGCAAUUCAUCCAAGCCAUCUAGUAGAUCAGCUCACUCAGCAUCCCACUCAAACUAGUUUCCAAUAGCAAUAGAUUGGUACUAGAAAAAAAAUCUUGAUCCUAUUAUCGGAUAUUCCAUUAGAUGAUAGAUAAGUCAGACAUGAA
Molecule: long non-coding RNA, 247 nt
Filed under: Elaeis guineensis (African oil palm)
Lineage: Eukaryota; Viridiplantae; Streptophyta; Magnoliopsida; Arecales; Arecaceae
Description: long non-coding RNA (EGUI_LNC049536)
Source: RNAcentral